CGACCCAUUCAUCACAUUCGGCAUUAUAAACUGACACGGACUUUGAGUACCGGCCUCCGACAGCCCACAGUUUAUCACCUACAAAAACACAACCCAUGCAACUACGUCCAACGUUCAAAGAGCACAUCUAUGAAAAGGUCAUAACGCUCGACUGUUUUAUUUCCGGAAAGUCCACAUAAAACGUAUAUGCUGCCUUUGUGUACGGCUGCCUAAAAUGUAAAGUUUUAUGCAUACAUUAGGACAAAUCGACCUCUGAUUAUGCUUUUAUCGUAGGCGACAAAAGGUAAAAUGGCGCUUACGUUAUUUUUCCUGAACAUGCUGAGAGGAAAGUUAUCAAAGAAUUGGCGCUUGCGAUAGUUUUUAUGUUGUAUAAUUUGGAUAUUUAUAAACGAAGGAGUGCCGGUACUUUAAGGAUUUUUUGAAAAAACUGAAUUUUAAGUCAAUUAAAUAUAAACAUUGUCAAUCAGCAGAAUAAGCUCAACAUAUUUUCAACUUUAACUGUUUGGCGCAUCUACUAUAUUGUCCACAAGUUGCCUUCGUGGAUGCAGAGUUUAGCUCAUUCAAUUCUCUACAAACUAAAACGACCACAUUGGCGCUACUAUUUGGUAUUUUUUCACGUCUGUUUUUUAAGAAUGAGAAAAAAGUAAAAUUUAAUCCUUGACUAGAAUACGUUCAGUGCCAAAAUCUUCAUAUUAGGGAGAUUUUUGGUAAGUUUCGAAAUCUGUUGUUAUAUUCCUCGACUCGUCGUGCGUUUUAAACCUAGUUAUUGGAGAGGAAAAAAUUGCUAAACGAAAACUUUUAAUCAAAUACUAAAA
Molecule: long non-coding RNA, 815 nt
Organism: Rhagoletis zephyria (snowberry fruit fly)
Lineage: Eukaryota; Metazoa; Arthropoda; Insecta; Diptera; Tephritidae
Source: RefSeq, a predicted model, not a curated record